RNAcentral lists this ribosomal RNA (1492 nucleotides) under Lactiplantibacillus plantarum subsp. plantarum. Its description in RNAcentral is "bacterial SSU rRNA". It matches the Rfam family "Bacterial small subunit ribosomal RNA". The record is from RNAcentral. Lineage: Bacteria; Bacillati; Bacillota; Bacilli; Lactobacillales; Lactobacillaceae.
GACGAACGCUGGCGGCGUGCCUAAUACAUGCAAGUCGAACGAACUCUGGUAUUGAUUGGUGCUUGCAUCAUGAUUUACAUUUGAGUGAGUGGCGAACUGGUGAGUAACACGUGGGAAACCUGCCCAGAAGCGGGGGAUAACACCUGGAAACAGAUGCUAAUACCGCAUAACAACUUGGACCGCAUGGUCCGAGNUUGAAAGAUGGCUUCGGCUAUCACUUUUGGAUGGUCCCGCGGCGUAUUAGCUAGAUGGUGNGGUAACGGCUCACCAUGGCAAUGAUACGUAGCCGACCUGAGAGGGUAAUCGGCCACAUUGGGACUGAGACACGGCCCAAACUCCUACGGGAGGCAGCAGUAGGGAAUCUUCCACAAUGGACGAAAGUCUGAUGGAGCAACGCCGCGUGAGUGAAGAAGGGUUUCGGCUCGUAAAACUCUGUUGUUAAAGAAGAACAUAUCUGAGAGUAACUGUUCAGGUAUUGACGGUAUUUAACCAGAAAGCCACGGCUAACUACGUGCCAGCAGCCGCGGUAAUACGUAGGUGGCAAGCGUUGUCCGGAUUUAUUGGGCGUAAAGCGAGCGCAGGCGGUUUUUUAAGUCUGAUGUGAAAGCCUUCGGCUCAACCGAAGAAGUGCAUCGGAAACUGGGANACUUGAGUGCAGAAGAGGACAGUGGAACUCCAUGUGUAGCGGUGAAAUGCGUAGAUAUAUGGAAGAACACCAGUGGCGAAGGCGGCUGUCUGGUCUGUAACUGACGCUGAGGCUCGAAAGUAUGGGUAGCAAACAGGAUUAGAUACCCUGGUAGUCCAUACCGUAAACGAUGAAUGCUAAGUGUUGGAGGGUUUCCGCCCUUCAGUGCUGCAGCUAACGCAUUAAGCAUUCCGCCUGGGGAGUACGGCCGCAAGGCUGAAACUCAAAGGAAUUGACGGGGGCCCGCACAAGCGGUGGAGCAUGUGGUUUAAUUCGAAGCUACGCGAAGAACCUUACCAGGUCUUGACAUACUAUGCAAAUCUAAGAGAUUAGACGUUCCCUUCGGGGACAUGGAUACAGGUGGUGCAUGGUUGUCGUCAGCUCGUGUCGUGAGAUGUUGGGUUAAGUCCCGCAACGAGCGCAACCCUUAUUAUCAGUUGCCAGCAUUAAGUUGGGCACUCUGGUGAGACUGCCGGUGACAAACCGGAGGAAGGUGGGGAUGACGUCAAAUCAUCAUGCCCCUUAUGACCUGGGCUACACACGUGCUACAAUGGAUGGUACAACGAGUUGCGAACUCGCGAGAGUAAGCUAAUCUCUUAAAGCCAUUCUCAGUUCGGAUUGUAGGCUGCAACUCGCCUACAUGAAGUCGGAAUCGCUAGUAAUCGCGGAUCAGCAUGCCGCGGUGAAUACGUUCCCGGGCCUUGUACACACCGCCCGUCACACCAUGAGAGUUUGUAACACCCAAAGUCGGUGGGGUAACCUUUUAGGAACCAGCCGCCUAAGGUGGGACAGAUGAUUAGGGUGAAG